RNAcentral lists this ribosomal RNA (377 nucleotides) under uncultured bacterium. Its description in RNAcentral is "bacterial SSU rRNA". It matches the Rfam family "Bacterial small subunit ribosomal RNA", at positions 523 to 898 of the family's 1533-position model. The record is from RNAcentral.
ACACGUAGGGGGCGAGCGUUGUCCGGAUUUACUGGGCGUAAAGAGCGCGUAGGUGGUUAGGUAAGUCAGGUGUGAAAGGCCAGGGCUCAACCCUGGGAUUGCACUUGAAACUGUUUAACUUGAGGGUAGGAGAGGUAAGUGGAAUUCCUGGUGUAGCGGUGAAAUGCGUAGAUAUCAGGAGGAACACCAGUGGCGAAAGCGACUUACUGGCCUAGCCCUGACACUGAGGCGCGAAAGCGUGGGGAGCGAACAGGAUUAGAUACCCUGGUAGUCCACGCCGUAAACGAUGGGUACUAGGUGUAGGAGGUAUCGACCCCUUCUGUGCCGCAGCAAACGCAUUAAGUACCCCGCCUGGGGAGUACGGCCGCAAGGUUAAA